AAGAGCCUAAGAAAAGGGGCCAAUGGGCAAACACUCUUGCUCCUUCAGCAGUAAAAGGGUGGUGAUGACACACAGGACUUGAUUUAGGUUUUGAAAUGCUCCUUAACUUGGAGGAAAUCCUACUUGAAAGAAAGAACUUGAACAAUCCAGUCCGGAGCAGGUGUUGCCAGCAGAGGCAGGAGGCUGGGUUUUUUGAUUUCUUGUUUUUGUUUUGAGGCCAGCUGGACUAUGAUUUAAAAAUAAUAAAUAAAUUAAUUAAUUAUA
This is a long non-coding RNA of Mastomys coucha (southern multimammate mouse), 264 nucleotides long. RefSeq lists it as uncharacterized. Lineage: Eukaryota; Metazoa; Chordata; Mammalia; Rodentia; Muridae. The transcript is spliced from 2 exons. The record is from RefSeq and is a predicted model, not a curated record.